Cricetulus griseus (Chinese hamster) is the source of this 1119-nucleotide non-coding RNA. The record is from RefSeq and is a predicted model, not a curated record. NCBI's taxonomy places the organism in Eukaryota, Metazoa, Chordata, Mammalia, Rodentia, Cricetidae.
CUUUGGAGGUUGUCCUGGAACUCGCUCUGUAGACCAGGCUGGCCUCGAACUCACAGAAAUCUGCCUGCCUCUACCUCCUGAGUGCUGGGAUUAAAGUCGUGUGCCACCAACGCCCGGCUGGCCCUGGGUUCUCUAGGAGACAGAUCUUCCCUCCUUUGCCUCCUCAGUCUAAGUCUAUUAUCUUUCAACACAUGACUGGGGUCACCUGAGGGAGUGACUUUUGGAAGAACCCACUAGAAAGCCACUGAUGGGGAAACUGAGGCUCCUUCAGUACCAAGAGGCUCCAAGUGGACCAUCCCUCCUGCCUGCCUGCAGCUCCCCUCCUCAGCGCCCCCCUCCCCGAUCUUCACAUGUAGACCUGCUAGGCUGGAUGUGUUUCCACCUACCUAGUGCCUGCCUCCCCCUGGACUGCCAUCUGACCCUUGACCCUGAUGCAUCUCUCCAGCUAGACAGCCAAAGACUUGAUCGAGUGCAGACAUCAUCACUACUUCCUGUCUGAGGAUCUGAAGCCUUUCCAGAUCUUAACUGGCCAGAGGCCAGAAAAGGGCAGCUCAUUACCUGGAACUAGUGUUACAGAAGAUUGAGCCACCAUGUCGAUGCUGGGAAUCAAAUCUUGGUAUCUGGAAGAGUAUCCAAUAUAUUUAACCACUGAGAUCCUCUCCAACCCCUGGAAUUCAGUUUUAAAUAGAUUUCAAGGGAUGUGCAUAUUUAAUAGUCUUGGUCAACAUGUAGUCGGAAUUUAUCACACUUAUCACUGAGCCACCAAUGCCUCCUCUAGUUACACUUGUAAGAUGGUCUAACAAGUUGCCAGAACUGUACGAAACCCUUCUGAGAGGUAAGUUCCUCCUGACUGACACCGAGUUCCAGCCUUUUUGUUCUUUCAACAUGAGACUCUAUAGCAUUGCAGUCUUCUCUCCUCCCAGGAUGGUUACAGUCCUGAGUCCUAACAAAGCCAGGCCCCUGAAACAAGAUCUCACAAGGCUUCCCAAUGUGUCAGACCAUCUCUUUGUCUGAGAGAUGGGGCACGGUCCCUUUGAGCUGUUGAGGAUGGAAUGGGAAAUUUAGGGAAAGUGCCUGACUGGUAGAGUUAGGAAUAAAGUUCUCUCUGUGCAUGGUUCA